CAUCUAACAAUGACAGUGUUGGAAAAGUGAUAUCUCUUCUCAAAAGAGCCAUAAAAGAAGAGCGGUACCAUGAUGCAGCUUUUUUAAGAGAUAAAGCUGGUGCUGGACUUGUGAGUUCUUAUGGAAUUUAUUUAAUGGCAACUUGCAUGAAUGUCUUUGAAUUGUGGUGGAAUUAGAAUGUCAGAUGCAAUGUCAUAGGGCGGCCCCAGUAAUACAUAUUGGUGCUGAAAUUGCUAUUACCCGGGUUGAUAAUUUGUUUUUGACAUCAAGACAACACUUUCCUCACCACUUCACUUAUGAAACCAAUAACUAAAUUGAGCUACACCAAAAUCAGUUCUUGAGCUUAUGGAUGUAAAGGAUCUAACUCUAUCACAUGUUAAAUCUCAUUUGCAGGUAUAAUUAUCUUCAACUCCUUCAUUGCAAUAGAUCACUAAACAUAGUUUAGUUAUAAUUAUAAUUACAUUAUUAUGAUGUUGUUAAUAUGUUGAGUAGUGUUGUGAGGUUGCGUCACAGAAAAACUUUUAGGAUUUUGGUCGGUAUAGAUGUUGCGAAGUUGCGAUACCGUAGUUUUUGCUGUUGCAGACGGUUUUCUAAUCCUUGUG
This is a long non-coding RNA of Lathyrus oleraceus (garden pea), 602 nucleotides long. RefSeq lists it as uncharacterized. The transcript is spliced from 3 exons. NCBI's taxonomy places the organism in Eukaryota, Viridiplantae, Streptophyta, Magnoliopsida, Fabales, Fabaceae. The record is from RefSeq and is a predicted model, not a curated record.